CCACAAAGUUUGGCUCCUAUACGGAUUCCAAAC
Molecule: small RNA, 33 nt
Filed under: Arabidopsis thaliana (thale cress)
Lineage: Eukaryota; Viridiplantae; Streptophyta; Magnoliopsida; Brassicales; Brassicaceae
Description: ATSL141000
Source: RNAcentral